Molecule: ribosomal RNA, 610 nt
Filed under: Paenibacillus chibensis
Lineage: Bacteria; Bacillati; Bacillota; Bacilli; Caryophanales; Paenibacillaceae
Description: bacterial SSU rRNA
Rfam family: Bacterial small subunit ribosomal RNA
Source: RNAcentral
CUAAUACAUGCAAGUCGAGCGGAGUUGAUGAGGCUUGCUUCUCUGAUGCUUAGCGGCGGACGGGUGAGUAACACGUAGGUAACCUGCCUGUAAGACUGGGAUAACUACCGGAAACGGUAGCUAAUACCGGAUAAUUUAUUUCUCUCCUGGGGAGAUAAUGAAAGACGGAGCAAUCUGUCACUUACAGAUGGGCCUGCGGCGCAUUAGCUAGUUGGUGAGGUAACGGCUCACCAAGGCGACGAUGCGUAGCCGACCUGAGAGGGUGAACGGCCACACUGGGACUGAGACACGGCCCAGACUCCUACGGGAGGCAGCAGUAGGGAAUCUUCCGCAAUGGACGAAAGUCUGACGGAGCAACGCCGCGUGAGUGAUGAAGGUUUUCGGAUCGUAAAGCUCUGUUGCCAGGGAAGAACGUCCGGUAGAGUAACUGCUACCGGAGUGACGGUACCUGAGAAGAAAGCCCCGGCUAACUACGUGCCAGCAGCCGCGGUAAUACGUAGGGGGCAAGCGUUGUCCGGAAUUAUUGGGCGUAAAGCGCGCGCAGGCGGUCACUUAAGUCUGGUGUUUAAGGCCAAGGCUCAACCUUGGUUCGCACUGGAAACUGGGUGAC